Non-coding RNA from Dorea sp. 5-2, 75 nucleotides. The record is from Rfam. Lineage: Bacteria; Bacillati; Bacillota; Clostridia; Lachnospirales; Lachnospiraceae.
CGGGGUGUGGCUCAGCUUGGCUAGAGCGCCUGGUUUGGGACCAGGAGGUCGCAGGUUCAAAUCCUGUCACCCCGA